This 460-nucleotide ribosomal RNA is filed under the name uncultured bacterium. RNAcentral describes it as "partial 16S ribosomal RNA". It matches the Rfam family "Bacterial small subunit ribosomal RNA", at positions 338 to 795 of the family's 1533-position model. The record is from RNAcentral.
CCUACGGGGAGCAGCAGUGAGGAAUAUUGGUCAAUGGACGAGAGUCUGAACCAGCCAAGUAGCGUGAAGGAUGACUGCCCUAUGGGUUGUAAACUUCUUUUAUAAAGGUAUAAAACGAGGCACGUGUGCCUUUUUGCAUGUACUUUAUGAAUAAGGAUCGGCUAACUCCGUGCCAGCAGCCGCGGUAAUACGGAGGAUCCGAGCGUUAUCCGGAUUUAUUGGGUUUAAAGGGAGCGUAGAUGGGUUGUUAAGUCAGUUGUGAAAGUUUGCGGCUCAACCGUAAAAUUGCAAUUGAUACUGGCAGUCGUGAGUACAGUGGAGGUAGGCGGACUUCGUGGUGGAGCGGUGAAAUGCUUAGAUAUCACGAAGAACCCCGAUUGCGAAGGCAGCUUACUAAACUGUGACUGACAUUGAUGCUCGAAAGUGUGGGUAUCAAACAGGAUUAGAUACCCUUGUAGUC